GAGUAGGUGCACUGUAAUACUACUUGCAGAGAUGCCUCAUAUUAGUAAUAUAAAAUGCAAGAGGCACAGAUGAUGGAUGGUGAAUAUGAAUGGGUGUGGCAACUCAGUGUGGGAUUACCUGGUCUAUUUGGGCUUGCUUCAUUUUAAUUUGAUUUUUGAAGCUAAUCCUCAGAAGCGGUUGAAUAGAGCUAUGUCUGCCACGUCUAAUUCUUAUACACCAGUGAAGCUGAGUUUAAUUUUCAGAGGUUUAUUAUGCAAAAAUUGGUCAGCAGAUGUGGCAUGGUAAUAAACAGUUCCCAGAAAAUACCCACAACAAGCAAGCUGACUUGAAUUUGAUUGCUUUUUUAAGCACAGCAUUGCAGGGUCCUGUGCAGCCAUGUGGUCGACAACCUCUGAAGGGAGUUUUGCCAGUUUGCUUCAGCUGCUUUGUGAUGGUCCAGCAGUACAAGCGUGAAUGGAGAUUGCCUUGAUAUAGCACUUCUCCCAGGAUAGAGAGGACUCAAGGGAAAAGCAUUCCAGACUUAGUGUAUAACUUAGUGUAUCUUGCUUGCACAUCGAUGUCAGGUUUUUCGCUUCUACUGUAAAAUGAUCACUCAUUUUUACAAUUCCAGCAUACUUUUCUACCUGUCUUAGAAAAAGGAGGAGCAACCAAGCACCCCAGACACCAAGCAGCAUUCCACUUACAGCACUUCAUUAUAUGCAAGGGUCUUUUUUCAGGAAAAAAAAAAUGCUUUGACAAAAUAGCAAGACAGCCUCCUUAUUAGUCCACACGGUAGAUCGUUAUUGGUAGCUCAUUAUUAGCUCCUGCUUGGAGGAAGCGAAACGCAACAGCUUCUGCUGCUGAAAAACAAAACACUAAGAUGAAAAACAACAACAGCUCUCCCUGUUUGCACGUAUUACCAGGCCUCAAUUUUCUCUUCAGCAUCCUGUCCAACUUGUUUUUCCCCUAAUUAUCAUAAACUGCGCUUGCAGACAAAUCUCUUUCUAGUCUGAGCAAAACUCACCUUAUUGAUGUCUGAUUCAGUGGAGACCACGAGGAAUAAGAUCACAGGGAAAAGUUGAUAAGAUAGUUUGAUUGCUUAUUUUUAAUGCAACAAGUAAAAAAGGCUGAGCUUGCCAACUCAAAUGCCUGAGAGUGGAAGAAAAGCAGCUUUGGGGGUAUCACUGGGCUCCAUCUAACCCGUGUAUUAAGUACCAAAGACCAGCAGCCCUUCCUGCAUAGCUGGGGUCUUCUCCUCUUCACAAAAGAUGGCAAGGUCAUAGCUACUGCCCUUGUGUGCAUGCUCAGCUCCCUGGCUACCUCUGCGUCUGUCACUUCUCUUUAUGUUGAGAAGAAGACGUAGCAAAACCCUUUCACACCUGGAAUCCAGCCCAAGGUCAAUGCGUUAGGCAGCAGUUACCUUUCUAAGGAAUAUAAAAAGCUAUUUCAUAUUCCAGCUUGGCAGCUCUUCAUCAGCCAUUCUUUCUCAACAACUUCUCUGACAUCCUCACUGGAACAAUUUCCAAACUCUCCCACCAUUGCGUUGCAUAGCAGUGCUUUCUAUCUCACUGCUAGGCGGUGGGGCAAAACAUUAUUUUAAGCUUUUGCUGCUACCUGCAAGGCGUUGUAAGCUCUAACAGUUAAGUCCACACACAAGUCUCAAUGAAAAACUCGAGCGCUUUGUUGAAUAACGGUGUGCUGAAGUUUCAUGGCUUGCAUCUUUUGGCCUUCAGGAUUUUACUUAACACUUGAUUGCUUAGUACGUUUUUAGUCUUGUAGUGACAAUAUAGUGUGAAGAUUUUCCUGUUCCUUGAAAUCCUUGGGAAAAAAUGAGAGCUAUUUUACAAGAAGUAAGUUUUGACAACAUCAAGUUCAUUAUCAAGUUCAUCAUUCAUUAUUAUAUACUUGCAGAGACCUAAACAAUGGUAUGUCUUAAAAUUGCUACAGAAUAUUUAUCACUAUUCAUACAGAGUAUUCAUUUUUUUCCAGCAGAACUACCAUUCGAUCUAAAGGAACACAGACGCUCCUUUCAAGUGAGCAGCAGUUUGCGUCGACAAGAAUGUUUAUUUUCUGUGCUGAUUCAGCCCUAUGGAUAUUAAGUGUGAAACCUCAUAGAUGAGCAUAUGCACGGUGUAAUUACAGUGCUACUUUUGGAAAAAAGAUAAGUAUUCUUGCCAUGCUUUUACUAACUACAUUACCUUUCUUCAUUUGUAUGAAUUCUUUACAUUCACAGAUAAGCACACAUUAUAUACAUAUGGCAAAAUAGCAUCUUAAAGCAGGGGUGUGAAGGGCUAAGAGGUUAGGCACAGUUGCUAAAACAAGCUUAAUUAAGCAGGUAAAACACCACUCUGGAGCACAUCAGAGUUUUAUCAGUUUCAGAAGGAUGAGUUACGUCAGUUCAAAAAGAUGUUUAAAAAUGACCUACUUUUAUGGCUUCGGAGUGGGUUGUUUCUCCUCGUUACCCCUGUUUCUUGGACCCCUUAGGCUGCCUUCAAACGGAAUGCUGAGGCUGCAGGAGUUAGCACUUUUACCAAAAGUGACCGCACUUUUGCAGCAGUACUUAAUUUGGCCUAUUGCGUUUACUAAAGGAGAUAUCAAAGGACAGUCUGUAGCCCUUCCAAGACAUGGCUAUUUUUUAUCACUUUGAGGUAAGUGAUUGCUAGUCAGAUUCAAGCCAUCUUAACUCAGUUGCUCCUCUAAUGCUUCUUCUAGGAUGCAAACACAUGGCAAACGACAGUCUUUAAGGAGUGUUUGGGCUUGACAGAUGGUUUGAACAAUUUACUUCAUAUGAGUUCUUUGUGAUGUUUUUAACUAUUGGUUCAGAUCGCUCUGAAUGGAACACUAACGCAAAUGGUGCAAGAAAACCAGAACUACUGAAUAGAUUCAGCUGGAACAGCCCCACUGAUUCAAGAACCCUUUACCGAGCCCUAACCCAGUGCCAGGUUUUGGGGUGGCAGGGUGAGAGCACAGCUGGUCUGGGCAGCAGUGGCAUGGUUUCCAUGCAGAGACGGUGAGAACCAUGCUCCAGUUGAGAUCACACCAGGAGGGCUUCAGAAUGAAGACGCUCCCUCAGCUUUCCCAGAGCCACCUGUGCUCAGUGCUCUGCAGGAUCAGCAUGCAGGGGGUUUCUCACCCACACGGUUUAAACUCAAGGCGAGGGGCGGCAGAACUGUGACCUGGAACGACUGCGUACUUCCAUCCUUCCGUUGGCUACAGAGGGAUGAGGUGUUGUGCCACAAGGACGGCUCUCCCGCACAUCACAUCAGACCUGCUCAGGUACAGCGUGCUCUGUGUAAGCCAGAGCCCAGCACUGGGCAAAUGGGCCUCUCUUUGUAACAUUAGCACCCUCAGCGCUCACACCGUCCCACCUCAGAGGAGUUAUAGUAUCAUAUGAGAAACAUCAACCCUAUGACGAAAAGUUUUUUUGUCUUUUACUUCAGUAUUUCAGGAGUGUUGAUGUGACGCGCAGCUGUAAUGAAGCAGGGUAACAGUCACAUACAACCCAUAAAUCGCAAUGCAGACAUUAAAGCCAAAUUCCUUCUCCUCCCUACCUUAAGUCUUCCAGUGAGAGCCGCCGGGCCGAGAGAACCGUCCACCACCUCGCUCGCCUCAGCCCCGCGCCCCACCGAGGCGGCGCUCAGCCGCGCCCAUCGCCCCUCC
Long non-coding RNA from Gallus gallus (chicken), 3640 nucleotides. Lineage: Eukaryota; Metazoa; Chordata; Aves; Galliformes; Phasianidae. The record is from Ensembl.